GAUGAACGCUAGCGGCAGGCCUAAUACAUGCAAGUCAAGGGGAUAGCAAUAUCACCGGCGGACGGGUGCGUAACGCGUACACAACGUGCCCAAGGGCGGAGGAAAGCGGCGGGAAACUGCCGGUAAUACUCCAUGGUGUUGUUGAGUGGCAUCACUUAACAACUAAAGUACAAGCGCCCUUGGAUCGGUGUGCGUUCGAUUAGCUAGUUGGCGGGGUAACGGCCCACCAAGGCUUCGAUCGAUAGGGGGUGUGAGAGCAUGACCCCCCCACACGGGUACGUGAGACACGGACCCGACUCCUACGGGAGGCAGCAGUAAGGAAUAUUGGACAAUGGGCGGGAAGCCUGAUCCAGCCAUGCCGCGUGAAGGACGAAGGCGCUCAGCGUUGUAAACUUACUUUUGGUAUGGGAACAAUAACUACCGACUUGUCGGAACUUGAGGGUACCAUCAGAAUAAGCACCGGCUAACUCCGUG
RNAcentral lists this ribosomal RNA (474 nucleotides) under uncultured bacterium. RNAcentral describes it as "bacterial SSU rRNA". It matches the Rfam family "Bacterial small subunit ribosomal RNA", at positions 28 to 507 of the family's 1533-position model. The record is from RNAcentral.